GGUAGGGUGGCCGAGUGCCUAGGCGGUGGGUUGUAGCUCCAUGAACAAAGGUUUAACUCCUUUUCUUACC
RNAcentral lists this transfer RNA (70 nucleotides) under Megalamphodus socolofi. RNAcentral's name for it is "Hyphessobrycon socolofi tRNA-Tyr". It matches the Rfam family "tRNA". Rfam says of the family: Transfer RNA (tRNA) molecules are approximately 80 nucleotides in length. Their secondary structure includes four short double-helical elements and three loops (D, anti-codon, and T loops). The record is from RNAcentral. Lineage: Eukaryota; Metazoa; Chordata; Actinopteri; Characiformes; Acestrorhamphidae.